CUCUUCAUCGUUUUCUUUCCUCUUUCUUCAAAUCCUCUUUCUUUCUCUUUCUCUCACUCGCUUUAUUGCUACUUGUUGUGUUGUGUGCUUUUUCUGUUUUUUUUGUUUUUAUUAUUUUUUGUUUGAUGAUAACUUCUUUUUGAAAAUAAAAAUAAAUAAAAAAAUAUAUGUACUCUAAUUCAAUCAACCGCCUACUGAGGAAGUUAGUUUAGGUUGAUCUGCCAACAAUGGAAAUUUUUUGGAUCUGGUCUGAUGGUGGUAAUUAGAUAUUACAAAAUGAAAGCAUGAUAUUUGAG
Molecule: long non-coding RNA, 296 nt
Filed under: Cicer arietinum (chickpea)
Lineage: Eukaryota; Viridiplantae; Streptophyta; Magnoliopsida; Fabales; Fabaceae
Description: long non-coding RNA (CARI_LNC000747)
Source: RNAcentral